Gorilla gorilla gorilla (western lowland gorilla) is the source of this 106-nucleotide small nuclear RNA. NCBI's taxonomy places the organism in Eukaryota, Metazoa, Chordata, Mammalia, Primates, Hominidae. The record is from Rfam.
AAUUGGUAUGAUACAAUUUUAUGAUACAAUGCUAAUGAUACAGAGAUGAUUAGCAUGGCCCCUGCGCCAGGAUGACAUGCAAAUUUGUGAAACAUUCCAUUAAUUU